GAUGAACGCUAGCGGCAGGCCUAACACAUGCAAGUCGAGGGAGGGGCCUUCAGGCUUCGACCUGCGUACGGGUGCGUAAAGCGUAUACAAUCUGCCUUUCACAUAGGGAUAGCGAGAAGAAAAAUGGCUUAAUACCUAAUGGUAUAUAGAUGUAGCAUCACAUUUAUAUUAUAGCUGAGGCGGUGAAAGUUCAGUAUGCAUUCUAUUAGCUAGUUGGAGAGGUAACGGCUCCCCAAGGCGACGUUAGAUAGGGGUUCUGCGAGGGAUAUCCACCCCACUGGUACUGAGAUACGGACCAGACUCGUACGGGAGGCAGCAGUGAGGAACAUUAGGCGAGGGUGGGUAGACGGAUCCAGCCAUGCCGCGUGCAAGAAGACGGCCUUAGGGGUUGUAAACUGCUUGUGCAGAGGAAGAAUAAGGACUACUCGUAGUUUGAUGACGGUACUUUGCGAAUAAGCAACGGCUAACUCCGUG
RNAcentral lists this ribosomal RNA (474 nucleotides) under uncultured bacterium. RNAcentral's name for it is "partial 16S ribosomal RNA". It matches the Rfam family "Bacterial small subunit ribosomal RNA", at positions 28 to 507 of the family's 1533-position model. The record is from RNAcentral.